This 49-nucleotide transfer RNA is filed under the name Macaca fascicularis (crab-eating macaque). RNAcentral describes it as "partial tRNA-Arg". Lineage: Eukaryota; Metazoa; Chordata; Mammalia; Primates; Cercopithecidae. The record is from RNAcentral.
UGGUAAGUAGUUUAAACAAAAUAAAUGAUUUCGACUCAUUAGAUUAUGA